Camelus dromedarius (Arabian camel) is the source of this 1022-nucleotide long non-coding RNA. RefSeq lists it as uncharacterized. The transcript is spliced from 2 exons. NCBI's taxonomy places the organism in Eukaryota, Metazoa, Chordata, Mammalia, Artiodactyla, Camelidae. The record is from RefSeq and is a predicted model, not a curated record.
GGGGAGACACAGAGGCUGCCCAACUCAAGACCUCAGAAACCUCCAUGCUGUGACAUGAGCCUGUGACUCCCUGGCAGACCCUCCGGAGCUGAGCAGCCCACCCUCACAUCCCCCCGUUCAUCGCACACCUACUAGCUCUGGCACCUCGUGGUGGAUUAAAGAUGGCGACAGAUUCUUUCCAUUCUCCCUUUUGAGAAGAGGAGUCUAUUUUCCUGACCCUUGAAGGAGGGCUGCCUCUGACUGCUUUAACCCUGAGCUGGGACAGAAGUGACAAGGUGGAGUUCCAGGUCUAGAUUUAAGACUGCUGGUGGCUUCCACUGGAGUUCUCUUGUAACACUCACGCUUGGGAUCUGACCACCAUGUGAGGAAGCCCAAGCUGAUCCAUGGAGAGACCGCAUGGAGAGAGACAGAAGUCCUAGCCUGCCAGCUGUCUUUACCCAGGUGCCAGGCAUCGGAUGGAAGCUGUCUUAGAUUCUGCAGCCUCAGCCACCAUCUGACUGCAUCUAUGUGGGAGAUCUCAAGUGACAACAGCAGAAUAGUAAUGAUAAUGAUGAUAAUAGGUUGUUGUUAUUGUUUUAAGUCACUAAAUUUUGGUGUGAUUUGUUAGAUCACAGUAGAUAACUGAAACAAUCUUUGUUUAUUUAACUGAGAAAUUAUCAAAAUAUUUUUAUUAAUUCACUUAAACACAGCAGUAACUCUAAGUAAUAUUUUUGUUAGUUUUUCAGUAGUUUUCAAUAUUAUUAUGGUCAAAUAUACAUAACAUAAAAUGUAUCAUGUAACCAUCUUGAAGCAUACAUUUAGGGCCAUUAAGUACAUUCACAAUUUUGUACCACCAUCAGCACCAUCCACCUCCAGAACUUCUUCAUCAUCCCAAACUGAAAUUCUAUAUCCAUUAAACAAUAACUGCUCAUUUCCACCCCCCUAGCCCUUUGCAACAACCUUUCUACUUUCUGUCUCUAUGAACUUGACUAUACUCUAGGUACAUCAUAUAAGUGGAAUAAACCUUGUGGUUUUAAACUUUA